Helianthus annuus (common sunflower) is the source of this 1129-nucleotide long non-coding RNA. RefSeq lists it as uncharacterized. The transcript is spliced from 8 exons. The record is from RefSeq and is a predicted model, not a curated record. Lineage: Eukaryota; Viridiplantae; Streptophyta; Magnoliopsida; Asterales; Asteraceae.
UGCUUAGGUGGCGAUUCAAAGAUGUUAAUGGUGGUCAACGUUUCUACAGCACCAUCUUUGGUCAACGAGUCAGUUCAUUGACCACCUGAUUGCUUGAUACGUAUCAUGUUCCGCACCAUUCAUCCAGAUUACUUUCCACCCGAAGUCGUAACAUAUGAGCGAUGGGCACUGUCAACACUGGAGAAAAAGAGCAUAUUGGGCUGGAUCCAAAACACUUUUUGUCAGAAAUUAUGUGUUUUAAAAGUUGGAGCUAAACAUCAACAAGCAUUUAUUAGGAGAAUUUGUAGAAUUCAAAGGGAAGAAUGAUGAUAUCACGUCCUUAAGAAACAUAAAGAGGUCGAAAGUUAGCCGUGUGAUGAUCCAAAAAAACAAGCAUGUUUGGUUUAGGUUCUAUAUGCACCAACAGAUUACAGGAGUGAAGGGUUUUCGGGUUCAGAGUGGUGGAACCAAGAAACAGUGAGAUCGAGCACAGAGGUGGUGUUUUAGCUUCAAUAAACUGCUAAAUGAACGCUGCUGGGAAGCAUGAACAAGCGUUCGAGCUUGCCGGAGGAUUCGCUCUGUCGAAGUACUUUGAUGACAACAGUCUUUUUAAAAGAACUGGGACUGUCUGGACUGUAAGUGCAGUAGUGCACAUACCAUAACUGUAGCCAUCGGCUCUGGCAUGUUGUCACUGGCGUGUGCAAUUGCGCGGCUGGGUUGGAUCGCUGGACCGAAGGUGGUUUCAAGUUAAACUUGGUGGAAUUGUCCAGUACGCCAAUCUUAUUGGAGUGGCAAUCGGGUACACCAUUGCAGCAUCCAUCAACAUGAUUGAUUGAAGGAUAUUGCUACAAGAGUUGGUGUUCAUGAGAUUGAUUUUAUGGAACACACCUCACCUGCAUUAAAGGGUAAAGACAAAGAACCCGAUAUAUAUGCAGUCUUAUACUCUUUCUAUAGAAGCCCUCCAAAAGACGGUGCAAGGUUGGUAACAACUACGAAGAACAAGUUGAGGUGGAAAUUUCAACCCAAUUCACCAAAAAUGGGUCCAUUCAACUUAUAUUUUUCAAAUGUUGCUCUGUAUUAACUUGUACAUCAUGUUUUAAGUGGUGUAUUUGUUUCAUUGACGAAUCUAUUGUUUUAUUCUUUUUUAAAA